CAAAUGCAUCAGACACAAGAUGAUGGCCACUAUUGUAAGCUCCUCCUGCCUCACCAACCCAUGCUGUUGCUGAGGUUGCCGAACUUCGAAGUAUGUUUUUGAGGCCGUUGAAUGUGCUAGCCUCUCCAUUGAGAUAUGAAGGAUCGAGAAUUUUUUCAGUUAUGUGUUCAUCAACUCCUGUAUUUGGGAUAAAGUAAGUUUUAGUUAUAAUCAAAUUUAUGGAAAUUGGAGAAAUAAAAUGUAAUAAUAUAUCUUGAUUAGUUGAAGUUACCUGGACCAAGGUUAUAAAUGUGGUGAGUGACCACAUCCACAGAUUUACCCGCUUUGGUUACAAAUUCUUUGAACCAAGUUGCAUCAAAGAAGCCUCCAGGUGAAAUAAGUAGUGGCUUAGGCUCAAUCCCCUUGUAUGCAUUUUGAAUGAUGAGUCGUAAAGAAGCAACAUCGGAAACAUAUUGAUCUGCAGAAACACUUGUUCCAAUUCCAUUCCCACAUAAUUCAUUGCCUGCCCAUGAAAAAUAGCUCAUUAUAGUUAGUCCACAUACAUAGACCCUCAAGCAAGAAGGAUUAUGUUCUUUAUGGCUUCAUAUACAGCAUCACAAUUACUUCUAUAGAGGAAAAAUUGCCAUUUUUGUUUCUUCUAACUAAAAGUAUUUGAUAAUUACAAAGAUGGUUAUUAAUUUCAGAAAGUCCUGGCUUGUGAUAAAGAUAAAGAUAGCCUUAAGAUUAACAUAAAAAAUUUAGUCUCAUUGUGCCAGUGUCACUUGCUAUUUUGGCAUUUGUAGUAAGAGCAGCAUAUAUAUGCUUACCAAGUUCCCAACCAUGAAUGAUGUAGUUCUUUUUUACGGUAUAACGUAUAAAUGAUUCGGCAUUGGAGUAGUCCCAAGGCCCAACUGCAGAACCAGAUUGUAUAGACUUUCCAGCAAGAGCAUUCAAUCCAAAUAUAAUCUUAGCCCUGAAAUAUACCUAUUAUUAAUGUUAAACUUGUCAAAAAACAAUUGUUAAUUUGCCAUAUUAACAAGAUGAACAUGUUUAGUCCUUACUCCUUAUACACAAUUAGAGGCAAAGGCCAAUGUAAAAAAUUAAAAGGGGACUGAUUUUUACCCUGCUUUUUUGAAAAAGCUGUUUAGCUCAUCCCAUCUAUGCAAGGGUAAGCACCCUUUAGUGAAACCAAACAUUUCACUAGUGUUCCAAACAAAAGGAGUACAUGGAUGGUGAUAAUCUUCAGUACCAUAUGUGACCUUAUCUUGCAAAGUUCCUCCUAAUCUAAUUUUCAAGGGUGAAAAUGCUGCACAACAUCAGAAGCAAUGAUAUCUUAAAUAAGUUCUCAAAAAAUUAUUAAUUGUUCAAUAGUUGAUGUAAAAGAUAGAGAAAUGUGAAUACAAUCUUACCUUUUACUGCAUUUAACAAAAUUUUGUUGUUGAGGUCCUGCAUGAUAUGAAAAUUAUAAGAUGUAAAUUCUCUCCUACCUUUGUGUAUAAGAUUCUUAAGGUUUGAAUAAAAGUUAUGACAUUAUUCAACCUUCAAUAAUUAAUUAAUUCAGUAAUUAAGAGGAAAAGAUACUAAUUUAUUCUCCUCAUACAAUGAGUAGAUAAUGACAUUAAAACAAAAAAAUUGUUUUUACAUGUUAUUUUGCAAAUGAGCUAAAGGAUCUUAAACAUGCAUUUCAGAUUCAAGCAUCAUUCAUUCCGACAAGGAAAAACACCAAGCACUGAAUAAUAUCUUAGACAGAAGAAUCUCAUGGUGUUACUUUCCUGCAGUGGCACAUUUAAAAUAUAUAAAAAAAACAAAAAACUUGUUUACAGAUUCAGAAACCAUAGCAGAAAAAGGAAAGUGAGAAUACCAGAUUAAGAAGAGAAGCAAGACCCCAACUACAUCUUCCAUAGUCACAUUUCUGAGGUGGCCACCAAUCCAAAGUGGCACACACAAAAUCAUCAUCAAUCUUUCCAAUAAAAGAUUUCCCAUGAAUAAAAACAAAACCUUUCUCUAUUGCAUCUCCUCUUCUUUCACCAUUCACAGCAUUCACUACAAUGAAGCUGAAGCAUACAAAAUAGUAGAUCCAUGAAUACCAACCCAGAAGCCUUAUUUGAGAACCCAUUUUCCUGAAUAAGACAAAGUCAAGAUCUUUGUUACAUAAAUGAUAAAUGGGUAGCUUGUACCUAGGAUGAAGAAGCUAUAGAGAUGAAAGAGUUUAAGGUUGUUUUACUGCAAACUCUGCAGACAUAAAUACAAAGAAAUGGAAUAUUGUGUGAAACAAGUUAUUAUUGAAACUAUAGAAAUACACACUUGAUGAAAACACACUUCAAUUCACGUGUACAUUACAGACUAUUUAUAAUUAUAUUGUCUCUCCCUCCACCUUCGCCUCCUCAGUUAUCGGUUUAGAAAAGGUAAUCAUAAUCUCAUAGAAUAUUUUAGACUUAUGUUUAUGUAAUUAAAUAAUUAAUGCAUGAUUAAAUUAAGUAUUUUGUUUUUAGUAUAAAAGUAUUUUUGCUAGUUAUCUGGUUGGAUAAAUAAAUUUUGAUGUUGGUUUUUUAAUGUAACAUGAGAAGAAACUGAUCUUUUUUCGUGAGAUAUUCUUCUAAUAAGUUGAAGAUUUACUUUUUUUUAAGGAUCUAAUAGAAACUUAUGAGAAAUGGUAUUUUCAUCAAGGUAAACAUUAGAGAAAAAACACGUAUAAGGAACCCUGUACUUAUAUAUUUAUGGGAAUUACACUAACCAGAAGCUGUAGACAAAUGCAUCAGACACAAGAUGAUGGCCACUAUUGUAAGCUCCUCCUGCCUCACCAACCCAUGCUGUUGCUGAGGUUGCCGAACUUCGAAGUAUGUUUUUGAGGCCGUUGAAUGUGCUAGCCUCUCCAUUGAGAUAUGAAGGAUCGAGAAUUUUUUCAGUUAUGUGUUCAUCAACUCCUGUAUUUGGGAUAAAGUAAGUUUUAGUUAUAAUCAAAUUUAUGGAAAUUGGAGAAAUAAAAUGUAAUAAUA
RNAcentral lists this long non-coding RNA (2975 nucleotides) under Lupinus angustifolius (narrow-leaved blue lupine). RNAcentral describes it as "long non-coding RNA (LANG_LNC000014)". The record is from RNAcentral. Lineage: Eukaryota; Viridiplantae; Streptophyta; Magnoliopsida; Fabales; Fabaceae.